AAAACCAAAGAUUGUCUUUACAUUCCAAUUUUAAGGAACUUAAUUCCGUCACUAUAGUAGAGAUGGAUAAAUGUUUUGUUUGACAAAACAUUGUUCUUUAUUAAUCAAUGAUUGGAUUAUAGUAAUCUAAUUGAUUGUCUCUAUAGUAGAGAUGAUAUGGUAGUGUUAACUGUUUAGAAUAAAAUGAUGCUUAAAACCCAAAAGGUUGCAAGGUAGUGACUAAUCCCAACUAAAGUUGUGAUACCUCUAAAACAUACGUUAUGAGUUGGUGAAAGAUGGAUGCUUUGGAUUGUUAGAUCCGGAUCCAAUACCUUCUUAUUAAAAUUGUAUAGAGGCGAAAUGUUCGAAUCUUUAUUCGUUUGGAAAGAAGAAAGAAUCACAAAGUUGUUGAGGUUAAUUCACUUAGAUGUUAGUGGCACUUGUCCACAAACAUAAUACUACUCAUGUUGUAUGACAUUCACCGAAGAUCACUCUCGGUUGGACUAGAAUAAACACAAGUCCGAAUACUUUGCAAAAGUUUUCAAAGAAUUCAAGAAAUGUAAGUUG
This 546-nucleotide long non-coding RNA is filed under the name Malus domestica (apple). RNAcentral's name for it is "long non-coding RNA (MDOM_LNC006831)". The record is from RNAcentral. Lineage: Eukaryota; Viridiplantae; Streptophyta; Magnoliopsida; Rosales; Rosaceae.